UUAACUAUUUUAUAGUACUCAGACGACAUGUAAUACAGAGUUGUGGUCCUCUGGCGGGCACGAUCCAGCCGAAGCCGGUGCUUGCGCGGCCCACCAAAGCAACAAAUUAAGAUAAUCAAGGGUGAGAAGGACCGGUUUCCCGGCUUCAUUUUUAAUGAUCCUUCCGCAGGUUCACCUACGGAAA
Molecule: unclassified non-coding RNA, 184 nt
Filed under: uncultured fungus
Lineage: Eukaryota; Fungi
Description: sequence contains ITS1
Source: RNAcentral